AUGUGUAUGCCGAAGAGGAAGGGGGAUGGGGUUCGAGACCUUCACAACUUUAAUCUUGUUAUGUUAGCAAAGCAGUGUUGGCGGCUUCUCCAGAAUCCUGAUUCUUUGUGUGCCCGAGUUCUAAGUGCAAAGUAUUAUCCAAAUGGUCAUAUUUUAAAAGCCGGACCGAAGAAAGGGUCAUCAUUUACUUGGCAAAGUAUAGGUGCUGGAUUUCAGACUUUUAAAAGAGGUUGUAUAUGGCGAGCUGGCUCAGGAUCACAAAUAAAAAAUUAGGAAGAUCCAUGGAUCCCAUCUAGCGAGACAAGGAGAGUCAUUACACCAAGAGGAGGAACUAUGCUAACAUUGGUAUAGGAUUUGAUUGACCCUUAUACAGGUCAAGAUUUCGAUCCCAUUCAAUCUAUCUUCUCAUUGGUGGAUGUCGCCAGAAUUGUGCAGAUUCCCCUUUGGACUAACAGUGUGGAAGAUUUUCUUGCAUGGAAAUAUACAAGAUCAAGAACUUUCUCGAUUUGGUCAUCGUAUCACGCGGAGUUCAUGUUGGGAAACGUUGCAUGGAAAACAAAAAAAAUCUCUGCACACGCAAGAUCUAUCCAUGGAGAUGCAUAG
RNAcentral lists this ribosomal RNA (603 nucleotides) under Triticum aestivum (bread wheat). RNAcentral describes it as "partial small subunit ribosomal RNA". The record is from RNAcentral. Lineage: Eukaryota; Viridiplantae; Streptophyta; Magnoliopsida; Poales; Poaceae.